AUGGGAAAAGGCAGGAAUGGGAAGGGAAGGGAUUGGGAAGGGGAGGGAAACGGGACGCGCCCCCGCGGCUCCGCCACUCAGGGAGCAGAAAAGGGGCGACAGCAAAGGCGGCGUCGAGCGCAAUCCCCACCCCCCCACUCCCUUUCCCCAUCCCACCCCCCUCCCCCAUCCCAGCCCCUGUUGGCCCCAGGCCAGGCCGGAGCGCUUCCGAGGAAUGACAUCACACAGCUGGAGCUCGGAGGAAUCGAUCCUGCCCACCAGGCUUGGAUCGUGCAACGCAGACAAACUGGUGCCAACGUGCGAGACCGCCGCCGUCGCCGCCGCCGCCGCCGCCGCCGCCGCCGCCGUCUCCCCCGCUGCAGCCGGCCCUGCCGUUCUCGCCGCCGGGAGCCGCAGGAUCCGAAUCCGGAGCCCGCUCUCCGCCGAGACCACCGGGGCGGGGUGGGGGUGGGGGGGAAGGAGGAGGAGGAGGAGGAGGAGGAGGAGAGGCAGCCCCGGGACAGCUGCGCGGGCCCGGGAGCACCGAGAAGGGCUCGGCCCCAUUUAAGAGGGAGAGAGAGGGGAACGAGGAGGAGGACGAGCGGCAGCUGCAGAAGCUGCAGAAGGUGCAGCAGCUGCAGCAGCUGCGGCUGCCCCCGACACCCGCGGCGACCACCGCAGCGGAGCAGGAGCGAGCAGCCAGCUCCGGCCGGCCAGCGGCAGCCAAGGUCCAGCGGCAGCGAAGGUCCAGCGGCAGCCAAGGGUCCAGCGGCAGCAAAGGGUCCAGCGGCAGCAAAGGGUCCAGCGGCGAGGAGUCGCACCCUCGCAGCACGCUUCGCGGUGCCUCGCAGCCGCCCCGACCCCCUGGAAUAUACGUCGCCCGGCCCCCUCCCCCUCCCCGCCCCGUCGAGCGGCCAACUUUUCCGGGGAGGGGGCCGGGGAGGGGGAGAGCCUGUCGGCUUCAUGCUGGUCGCCUCCACCUCCCCGCCGCCUCGGUGAAGCCAAGGGGGACCCCGGGGGGUGGGGGGGACGCCCGGGUGGGCGAGGAUGGAGCGGGGCCCCGGCCUGGGGGUGACCCUGUGGGCCUUGCUGGCCCUGCUGGGGCUGCGGGCCGGUCCCGGGGGGUGUCAGCACUACCUGCACAUCCGCCCGGCCCCCAGCGACAACCUGCCCCUGGUGGACCUCAUCGAGCACCCGGACCCCGUCUUUGACCCCAAGGAGAAGGACCUCAACGAGACGCUGCUGCGCUCGCUGCUGGGCGCUCACUACGACCCGGGCUUCAUGGCCUCGACGCCCCCGGAGGACCGGCCGGCCGGGGGAGGAGGGGCGGCCGCAGGAGGAGGUGCAGGAGGAGGUGGUGGAGAGGACUUGACCGAGCUGGACCAGCUGCUGCGCCAGCGGCCGUCGGGGGUCAUGCCCAGCGAGAUCAAAGGCCUGGAGUUCUCCGACGGGCCGCCCUCCGGCAAGAAACACCGGCUGAGCAAGAAGCUGCGGAGGAAACUGCAGCUGUGGCUGUGGUCGCAGACCUUCUGUCCGGUCCUCUACUCGUGGAACGACCUGGGCAGCCGCUUCUGGCCCCGCUACGUCAAAGUGGGCAGCUGCUUCAGCCGAAGGUCGUGCUCCUUCCCCGAGGGCAUGGUCUGCAAGCCGUCCAAGUCCGUGCACCUCACUGUGCUCAGGUGGCGAUGCCAACGCCGGGGGGGCCAGCGCUGCGCCUGGAUCCCCAUCCAGUACCCCAUCAUAUCGGAGUGCAAAUGCUCCUGCUAAGGGCGCCUCGCCCCCUUCCACGCCCACCCAGUCCGCCCCCUCCCCACCCCCCCAAAAGCCCAACUCCGUCCCCUCUCCCCGCCGCAGGACAUAACUUUAGGGUUCAUGUUAUGCACUGUACCUGUAGGAAUGUAUAUGUGUGCGUGCGUGUGUGUGUAUAUAUAUGGUCCCAGUUUUACUUAUUAAAAGGUCAGUAUUAUACGUUUAAAAAAAGUUACCGGCUUCUACUGUAUUUUUAAAAAAACAAAAGAGGAAAAAAAAAAGAAGAAGAAGAAGAAGAAGAAGAAAGAAGGAGAGAGAAAGGCGUGUUCUUCUGUCCGUCCCUAACGUUACCUGCUAUUUAUAUUCCAGAACACUUCGCCCGGCGAAGCAGGAAAAAAAAAAAUAUUUUUUUUUUAAAGUACAAAGAGGAGAGGAAAAAAAAAACUUUGUAGAAGGACUUUAAAAAGAAGAAGAUGAUGAUGAUGAUGAUGAUGAUGAUGAAGAAGCUAUUUUCCAUUCUUCGGAAAGUGUACCGGUCUCCUGGGCUCGGAGGAGCCGUAGAGUUCGAUGUUAUUUUAGUUAUUGUAAAUAUAGAGAACAAAUGGAAUGACUAAUCGUUGUAAAUUAAGAGUAUCUGCUAUUUAUUCUUUAUAAUAUCCCUUGUAGUAAAGGAGAGAAAGAGAGAGAGACGGCAGAACUGAAGUAAACCACUAAAAUCUGAUUGAGCGCCUCGUCGUGCCGUCUAUUUUGUUCUUUGCAGGGGGG
This 2493-nucleotide long non-coding RNA is filed under the name Ornithorhynchus anatinus (platypus). Its description in RNAcentral is "lncRNA (ENSOANG00000040588.1)". Lineage: Eukaryota; Metazoa; Chordata; Mammalia; Monotremata; Ornithorhynchidae. The record is from RNAcentral.